RNAcentral lists this ribosomal RNA (404 nucleotides) under uncultured bacterium. RNAcentral's name for it is "bacterial SSU rRNA". It matches the Rfam family "Bacterial small subunit ribosomal RNA", at positions 91 to 507 of the family's 1533-position model. The record is from RNAcentral.
GAAAGCGGCGGACGGGUGAGUAACGCGUGGGUAACCUGCCCCAUACAAAGGGAUAGCCACUAGGAAACGGUGAUUAAUACCUUAUAAGUCGGUAGUCUCGCAUGAGACAGCCGACAAAGAUUUAUCGGUAUGGGAUGGACCCGCGUCUGAUUAGCUAGUUGGUGAGGUAACGGCUCACCAAGGCGACGAUCAGUAGCCGACCUGAGAGGGUGAUCGGCCACACUGGAACUGAGACACGGUCCAGACUCCUACGGGAGGCAGCAGGUGGGGAAUAUUGCACAAUGGGCGCAAGCCUGAUGCAGCAACCGCCGCGUGAGUGAUGAAGGCGUUCGGGUACGUAAAACUCUGUCCUAGUGGGAAGAAAAAAUGACGGUACCAUAGGAGGAAGCCCGGCUAACUACGUG